CUGAGAGGAUGACCAGCCACACUGGAACUGAGACACGGUCCAGACUCCUACGGGAGGCAGCAGUGGGGAAUAUUGCACAAUGGGCGCAAGCCUGAUGCAGCCAUGCCGCGUGUAUGAAGAAGGCCUUCGGGUUGUAAAGUACUUUCAGCGGGGAGGAAGGGAGUAAAGUUAAUACCUUUGCUCAUUGACGUUACCCGCAGAAGAAGCACCGGCUAACUCCGUGCCAGCAGCCGCGGUAAUACGGAGGGUGCAAGCGUUAAUCGGAAUUACUGGGCGUAAAGCGCACGCAGGCGGUUUGUUAAGUCAGAUGUGAAAUCCCCGGGCUCAACCUGGGAACUGCAUCUGAUACUGGCAAGCUUGAGUCUCGUAGAGGG
This 374-nucleotide ribosomal RNA is filed under the name Escherichia coli. RNAcentral's name for it is "bacterial SSU rRNA". It matches the Rfam family "Bacterial small subunit ribosomal RNA", at positions 292 to 658 of the family's 1533-position model. Lineage: Bacteria; Pseudomonadati; Pseudomonadota; Gammaproteobacteria; Enterobacterales; Enterobacteriaceae. The record is from RNAcentral.